CAUGCACCAGUAGGGUCCCUCGGCCUGGCCUGCGGGAUUGAAACCGGCUCUCUGACAUCCCCCGAGAGGUCCCAGAUUACGACAGGGCGCAGGCCAGGCCGAGGGACCCCACCGGUGCACA
RNAcentral lists this microRNA precursor (121 nucleotides) under Myotis lucifugus (little brown bat). Its description in RNAcentral is "mir-9193 microRNA precursor family". It matches the Rfam family "mir-9193 microRNA precursor family". Lineage: Eukaryota; Metazoa; Chordata; Mammalia; Chiroptera; Vespertilionidae. The record is from Rfam by way of RNAcentral.